AGGGGGGGCAACCCCCCGAGUAGAGUGGCGAACGGGUGAGUAAUACAUCGGAACGUGUCCAGUAGCGGGGGAUAACCUCUCGAAAGAGAGGCUAAUACCGCAUACGACCUACGGGUGAAAGAGGGGGAUCGCAAGACCUCUCACUAUUGGAGCGGCCGAUGUCGGAUUAGCUAGUUGGCGGGGUAAAAGCCCACCAAGGCUACGAUCCGUAGCUGGUCUGAGAGGACGGCCAGCCACACUGGAACUGAGACACGGUCCAGACUCCUACGGGAGGCAGCAGUGGGGAAUUUUGGACAAUGGGCGCAAGCCUGAUCCAGCCAUGCCGCGUGAGUGAAGAAGGCCUUCGGGUUGUAAAGCUCUUUCGGCGGGAACGAAAAGGUCCGUGUUAACACCAUGGAUCCAUGACGGUACCCGCAGAAGAAGCACCGGCUAACUACGUGCCAGCAGCCGCGGUAAUACGUAGGGUGCAGGCGUUAAUCGGAAUUACUGGGCGUAAAGCGUGCGCAGGCGGUUUGCUAAGACAGGUGUGAAAUCCCCGGGCUUAACCUGGGAACUGCGCUUGUAGCUGGCAAGCUAGAGUGUGGCAGAGGGGGGUGGAAUUCCAGGUGUAGCAGUGAAAUGCGUAGAGAUCUGGAGGAACACCGAUGGCGAA
Molecule: ribosomal RNA, 652 nt
Filed under: uncultured Pseudomonadota bacterium
Lineage: Bacteria; Pseudomonadati; Pseudomonadota
Description: bacterial SSU rRNA
Rfam family: Bacterial small subunit ribosomal RNA
Source: RNAcentral